AUGGCGGACGCGGAGGCGGCGCGCGGUGAGCGUCUGGUGCGGUCGGGCUCGUCGGGUGCGCGCGGGACGUGUGGGAUGCACUGGUGCGGUCGGGCUCGUCGGGCGCAUCGGGUGCGCGUGGGACGUGCGGGGCGCAGAGGGAUGCUAGGCGUGUGUCGCCGGCGGAGAAGGAACUCGGCGUAUGCCGCCGGAGUCGUGACGGAGCACGGUGAGACCGGCGUGAGUGCUCCAGAUUGGGUCCGUGGUGGUGCCACCGGCGUCGAUGCGUCGAAUCGGGUCCGCGGGCUGGGUCACGGCUAUGACGACGACAAUGACAGGAUGAGAGGUGAGGUAGCUAGAGGGCUGCGGUUCCAACAAGAAAGAUGGGGUGGUGGUAGCCAUUGCUCCGGCGAGCAUGACGACGGCCCGAAGGGCUCGCCGACUGGGUCGGUGACCAAUGACGCUCCUGGUGAAAAAGCCCUAGAUCGAGCGGUCAAAACAGAUCACGCCUCCUCGAUUCCUUCCACUCCCUCGACACCACCUCCCUUCCACCCGGCGGCGCCUCCUCCUUCCUCCUCAUCUGGCGGCGCCUUCUCCUUCCUCCUCGUCCGCCUUCAUCCCCAUCCGGCGGUGCCUCCUCCUUCCUACCCAUCCAGCAACGCCUCCUCCCUCCUUUCCACGGCCUCCAGCACAGCGCGCCACCGGCUAGCUGCACCACCACCGUAUCCGCGAGAGAGGAAGUUGCGGGAGGAGGAGAGCCCAUACUGUGAGGAAGACGUGGGGAGGAGCUCUACCCGGCUCAGCUGCCGGCCAGGAUCUGGAAGAAGAGGAGACCCAUGCGGUGCCCUGGACAGGUGGCAGCAGCCGUCAAGACAGGAGCGGCGCCGUGAGCGACGGCCCUUGGUCGUCUUCAGGUGUGCGUCGUUCGUGGUGGCCAGUCGUAGGUGUUGCCGGGCGACCAGAGGCGCCUGCAGCAGGCCGGUGCCCCUUAGCAAGAUUGGCAUGAACUGGGAGGCAACCGGUCAGAGUAUAACCCAGAUCAGUCCUUAUGGGAGAGAGGGUUUAUGCUUGCAGGGCGAAGAAAAUAAUGCCCUCCCGUGUGUGAUCUACUGCCAUGGAAAUAGAGCAGAUGCAAAUGAAGUUGCUGUAGUACUUCUUCCUUCAAACAUCACAGUUUUCGCACUAGACUUUUCCGGUUCAGGUCCAUCGGACGGAGAUUAUGUCAGCCUUGGUUGGCAUGAGAAAGAGGACCUCAAAUGCGCAGUAUCAUUCCUGCGCACCAACAAGCAAGUUUCCCGUAUAGACCUUCGGGCGCGAUCGAUGGGUGCUGUUACAAGCCUACUACAUGGAGCAGAAGAACUGAGAGAUGAUGUUUCUGCUGAGCCUACUAUAUGGUUCUUGAUGAACACUCCUAUAUCUGCAUUCAAAGGCAAAGGGCGGGCUAUCAUGCCUAAAACGCCUAGCAAAUCACCAUGCCCAAAAAGCUCUCGUCGCAAGCUUUUUACUUCACCUUUGAAGAUUAAAGGGCCUGAGGUUAAGGGAGCAGACCUGUCUAACUCUACUGGAAAUGUUACUACCGAAGCUGAAAAGAGUCCUUCUGCUGGAGAUGAACCUAAACAAGUUGAUCAAGAGACUGAGACCGCAGUAGCUGGAGAUGGAAAGAAUGUUCUUUCCGAACAGACUAAAAACAAGAGAUUGAAAUUUACUAAAUGCCCAGUGAAACAACCUUUUACCUUCAGGCUGCAAUAUGUUUUGCUUGGUACUGGUCCAUGCUCUUAUUCCAUUUCUGACGCAUAUGGAUAUGCUGAUCAAGAGAUUUUCUCAGCUCUCCUGCAUCGUAGCAACGGUCUAGCCAUCAGGUCUGAGGAUCGCCAGCACAGCAAACUUUUGUGGAUGCACUUGCUGUAUUUUGUGCGGAAUGAUCAUGCGCAUGGCCUGUUUCUCCUAUGGGCCGACGGCCUUCAAAUGACCGAGGAAAUAUCUACUACAGUUGUCUCUCUUAGCUUCCCGCAGCCACCAGACCCUAUCUUAUGUUCACUUACCUCAUCUCCCCCCUCCCCCCUUUGCCUGGAGCUCCUCCGCGGUAGCUGCUCCUGCGGUCGAACCAGAUACACGGAUGCCAAAGGCCCGCGGUCAGCUUCUGCAGUGCCCUACUCUUUACCAGGUGCGCCUCCUCCUCCCGGCAUCCAUUACUGUUGCUUCAUCACAGUCAACUCCAUGUGGUCAUGGUGUUCAAUCUAUUUUGGUCCUGAACAAAGGCGGAUAGGAGUUCCUACGAGCAGUCAUAUUUCUCAAGCUUUGUUUCAUUAUGAGUUUACUAGAGCUUGCUGCAUGUUUAUUCCAAGGCUUCGCUCCUUGUUAUUCUUAAUGCAUACUGUAUGUAUACCUUGUGCCAGCCCCCUUGGUCUAUCUUUUGAAAUCGUGCUCAUGGAGCUGGUCGAGCUAUCCACCGUUUCUCUAGCUGAAGCAAUGUUUGAGAAACUCGGGCUCCCUAAACCAGUCUACCAUGUGCAUCAGCUUGAGCAGGGUGGGUAUAAAGCGCAGGUUGAAUUUCACCGUACAAAAGAGCGUUUUCAUGCUUCAGCACGCCGGGUUAAACUGCCAAGCCCUGUAUGUGUGGAUGGGGAGGCAUCAAUGAAUCACAUGGAAUCCAGAGAGGCAUUAAUGUGUAUCAUCUUGAUUGUCGCCUUGACCUUAUCAAUCCCCUUCUUCCCUCCGUGUACCAAACCUUCUCUCGCUCACCCUGUCUCUUCCAGACCAUCGUCGUUGUUCCUCAACUUCGAUUGCAAUAUCAACACGUCAGUUCCUCAGGUGGAUCCUCACUGAAUCAGACCGCUUAACAGGCGAACCUUUACCAACAUGGUAUUAUUUCAAUUUUGAGUUGGUGUUGUUCCUUAGAGACAUGGUCAAAUAUUGAGAAAUUUUAGAUUUGCUUGCAUCUUGGUUUGCCCAUGACUGAAAUCAAUAUUUCUUCGUUGCUAACAAGAAAAGAUCAGUUGUCUCAUGCAGAUGCAUACCCUGUUGAUAUGUUACUGCUCAUUUCAGAAGUGUUUGAUUCAUCCUAGCUAAUUCAAGUUAACCUGGGUACAACAAUAGAUAGACAUUUAUUUAUGGACAAC
This 3098-nucleotide ribosomal RNA is filed under the name Triticum aestivum (bread wheat). Its description in RNAcentral is "partial small subunit ribosomal RNA". The record is from RNAcentral. Lineage: Eukaryota; Viridiplantae; Streptophyta; Magnoliopsida; Poales; Poaceae.